Molecule: ribosomal RNA, 358 nt
Filed under: uncultured bacterium
Lineage: Bacteria
Description: bacterial SSU rRNA
Rfam family: Bacterial small subunit ribosomal RNA
Source: RNAcentral
AAAGUAAGACUAAUACCCAAUGACGUCUCUAGAAGACAUCUGAAAGAGAUUAAAGAUUUUAUCGGUGAUGGAUGGGGAUGCGUCUGAUUAGCUUGUUGGCGGGGGUAAACGGCCCACCAAGGCGACGAUCAGUAGGGGUUCUGAGAGGAAGGUCCCCCACAUUGGAACUGAGACACGGUCCAAACUCCUACGGGAGGCAGCAGUGAGGAAUAUUGGUCAAUGGACGAGAGUCUGAACCAGCCAAGUAGCGUGCAGGAUGACGGCCCUAUGGGUUGUAAACUGCUUUUAUAAGGGAAUAAAGUGGGAGUCGUGACUCUUUUUGCAUGUACCUUAUGAAUAAGGACCGGCUAAUUCCGUG